AAAACAAAAUAUUAAAUAAUGAUUAAAGAACCUGAAUGCGUAAUACAAUAGUCUUGAACACUCCACCACAAGCCGGUAGGAUUUGUUCUUGGAUUCUUCAAUUAAACAGUAAAUUAAAUCAAGGAAAUAAAACUGGAAUAUAACGUAAGGUUAAAUCCGGUAUAAAGUUGCACAAUAGUUUCCGGUGUAGAAACUAUUAUGCGAAAAAUAUCUAAAAGCUAAAAUGGGAAAGGUAAAUUUGCAAGGGAAGAAGAAUGUAAAGCUUGCAAAAGAAAUAAAUAAAAUAAACAAUGC
RNAcentral lists this long non-coding RNA (294 nucleotides) under Lathyrus oleraceus (garden pea). RNAcentral describes it as "Pisum sativum (pea) long non-coding RNA (PSAT_LNC002672)". The record is from RNAcentral. Lineage: Eukaryota; Viridiplantae; Streptophyta; Magnoliopsida; Fabales; Fabaceae.